UGCUAUCUGCUCCUUGUAUAUACAGCCGACGCUCUUGUCCUCUGUUCGUCCUUCCGCCUCGCUCCAGCCGUCGUCUCUCGUUCUCUGUUCCUCGUUCCGCGUCAACUCCACCCGCCGCUGCCGUUGCUCCCGUCGCUCGCCAUCAAUCGCCAUCGCCAUCGCUUUGCUUGUUGCUUGCUUGCCGCGUCGCCGCUGUACUUCCUGAUGGCUCCUCUCGCUGCUGCUAUUGCGUUUGGUUAGGGGUGCCUGUGGCUGCUUUGUCGUGCGUCCGUGCGGCUGUUUGUUCCUUCUUUCCGAGAAAUCGCACUAAUCGGUUCGUCGUCAGAUUUGCCUUGCUGUUUCAUGUGCUCAAAGGAUCAUCUUUCUCUUCAGGUUCGAUUUUCAGGGAUUUUCCUUGCCGCUUCAGUUUAUUGUGCUUUUUCUUGUAUGAGAUUUGAAGCAAGUUCAUCCUUCUUCUUCUUCUUAGAUAUUCUGAUGAGAAUUGUUAUGUGUACAAACCUAAAUUUGAGAUAAAUUCUGCUGUGUUUUACGCUUUAAAACGAGAUCGACCUAAGUGGACUUGUUUGUGGCGUUUAAAUUUCAGUUAUGUGCAAAGAAACAGC
This is a non-coding RNA of Triticum urartu, 602 nucleotides long. NCBI's taxonomy places the organism in Eukaryota, Viridiplantae, Streptophyta, Magnoliopsida, Poales, Poaceae. The record is from RefSeq and is a predicted model, not a curated record.